Molecule: long non-coding RNA, 3071 nt
Organism: Dermochelys coriacea (leatherback sea turtle)
Lineage: Eukaryota; Metazoa; Chordata; Testudines; Dermochelyidae
Exons: 2
Source: RefSeq, a predicted model, not a curated record
GAGUGAGCAAACAGCAAGAACCCUCAAUUGCAGAAAGAAAAGUUGUUAAGGUGGCCAAAUGAACCUUAAGAGAACUUACUGAAAUUUUCUUUAAUCGCAACAAGCAGAAGCUACAUGGAUUUAGGAACAAUUUUCCAGAGUGCACAUCAGUUACUAAAUCCCCACUUUUGAAGGAGUGUAGCUGCCCAAUGAACAUAAUGAGGCCCUGGAAGCUGCAACAAUUUGUCUGUAUCCUCCAUGAACAACUUCAGUCAUCAAACAGGAAAUCCUUUACCAUAUUCAGGACUUCUCUGGGGAAACCAGACAACUGUAGCCAAGAUGCCCUGUGCAUCACCACUGUCGUGGAAAUGGAGUAGGCUACAGUAUCUGCAUCAUCCAGAGCUGCCUGGAAGGAUGUCCUCGUCCCUUAUCAAUGGUAGUUUGACAUUAUUUCCUUUGGUCUGGAGGAAGGUGUUGAAUGAAAACUGAAUUUUGCAUAAUUUGUGAAGUUAUAUUUAGCCAUCAGUUCCUGUAAUUCAUGAUGCAGAAUUUUAUGGUUGUAGAUUAAUAAGAUUUCCUUCCUAAAAAGUCCAGGCACUUCUGGGCUGUCAUACAAGGGGGAGUCAGCUUAUACCAUUUGUUCACUGGUGUCUACUAGAGAGUUGGGCAGAGGGUGGGAAAAUAGAAACUCAGAGUCCUUGGUGGGAACAUAAUACUUUAUCGGCUCUCUCAAACACAGGUGUUACUGUGGCCAGUGUUUGCCAAAUGGUUUUUGCAGGUUCCAGCAGAGCCUCACCCGAUAGGAAGGGCAACCCUGGAUGGUGUUACGGAGUGAACAAUAUCCAACAGCUUCUGUCGUGAUUCUUUGAUCUCCUUGAGAGGUAUCUGUAGGGAGUCUUCCAUAUGUUUAAUGAGGUCUUGAAAUCGCUGACCAUCAUUGGCCAAAGGAGGACGCAUCAUUACCACCUCUUUGGGUGAUGAGGAUAAGAUGGUAGUCUGAGGGGUUGCUUCUUCAUAUGCCCUUGCCUCCAGAUCCUCAAACCUUUCCUCUUGUUGAGUGAUGUGAUGGGAGAUCAGAAGCUUGAGUCUCCCCCAACAUCCCAGUGGGAGACAGUUGAGGCGUUGGAGAACUGUUGACAGUAAGCUAUCCAGGGGUCCCAAUAUGGCCACUGAGCACCAUAUCUGGUGGGGCAGGCAACCAGGGUUGUUUCCACCAAGAAUGAUGAGUUUCCUAGAAAUCCUCUCUGUCUCUUUGAGAAAGAGGUUCCUAUGUGGGUACACAGGAGAAUCUUGGACAGAGAUUAGUGAUACUGAAGGGAGAUCUCCAUCACUCUUCAUCCUCUAAUUGGGGAACUCCAACUGAAGAAGGAGGUGAAUCAAAGAGGUAUAUGGGUCCAUGACAGAGUGAUUCUCGGUACUGAUGGAGACUCUGGUUCCAUAAGUCCUUUGGGUACUUAAAGUCUUGCAAUACUGAGCAGAAUCGUGGUAACCAUUUUUGUACCAAAGGCAUGGUAUGCUCAUCCCUGCAGGAUGGUACUGAGAGUUUCACAUGCUUUGCAGAAGGCGCUGAUGUAGAUGAAACUUAGUCAUACAUGGUACUGAAGAACCCAACAGGGGUACUGGAAGAAGGGUUAAGUCCAGUGGUACUGAUCUUAGGUAUUUGUUCUGGCCAUUUCUGCUAAGCGGUACCGGGUUCUUCUCAGAGACGUGCUUACCCUCAGAGGUACAUGAUUUUCCCCCUUGUCUUUAUCGGAGAAGAUAUUUGCCUCUAUAGUAAUGACUCUCAAGGUUGAAGAAGCUGUUCACCUGCUCAGAGAAUGAGGUCAUUCUGAGGUACACUCCUUAAUAGGAGAGUUAAAGAACCUCUUUUGGGGACCUUUAGAGAAGGUCUCUGAAGCUUUCCCUUUUCUGGGGGGAGUACUGCACUGAGCUUGAAGGGGUGCUAGAUACCCCCAGAUAUUGAUUUACUGAGGGGAGGAGAGGAUGUUCUGACCUGGGUCUGAAGUGAGACAAAAUGACUGCUCUACCAUUAACAGCCACAGCUUGAUUUCCUGGACUUUUAGAGGCCUGGAUUUGAGGGCUAAACAGAAGUGCAAUGUGCAGCUUCCCUAGGCAGCAAAUGCACUUAAAGUGUCUAUUGUUGACCAGAAUGACCUCUAACCAAGGCAGUGUUUAAACCUCGGUGAACUGGGCAUAACCCUUUCAGGGACAAGCUCCCUGGAGGAAACAAAACAAAUCUGUUAAAUAACCAGUUGAACUCACUACAAACUAACAAACUCACUAACUAAAAGUAAAAUAAAUUAAGCUAGACCAAAGUAAGCAAGUAACUGAGACACGCCCAAUGCAGAUACACUAAGUUCUGUCUCCGUCUGAGGCAGCUGAGAAGGAACUGAGGGCUAUUUGCCUGCAAGCCUGAUAUAGCCUUGGUCUGGAGCAUGAGGAUCUUAACAGUGAAUGAACAAGCUGAAUGAACACUGCUAAUGAAAAAUCUCCAAACAAAGGCUCAUGGGGCACAUGCAUACCUGGCCACUGACCAAAAGAAGAAUCUAAAUUAGUUUAAGAUAUUACCAAAAUUCCAACACUCUCCCCAAUUUGACAUACUGUUGCUAUGACAAACUCUGACCUCGGGAUAUAGUAUACUGCCUUAGAUUCUGCUCAAUUAAAGCAAUUUAAAACAUAGCUUCAAGUAAAUAUUAUUUCCCUUGCAAGUGUUGCAUCACAAGAAUUUUUUUUUUUAAAUUAACUGGGCCCACAAACAACACGGAAGUGCCUCAGCUGAUUGCUCCCCAACCAGUCACUAAAUGAUAGCCCAGUUUUCCUCUAUCUUCACUGAGGAAAUGGCUUAAAGCAUGGCCGGACUUUUCUUUUUAUGAAAACUGAAAAGCAGCAAAACGAGGAAGUGUCAGGGUGAGCAAAUGCCCUUUUAGGAAAAAAAACAAAAAAAAAAAACAGCUACAAGUAUGUUAAUUUUUAACAUUUAAGGAUCGCUAACUGACCCUCUCCUUUUCACAGGCCGAUGUGCUGUCCCUGGCUGUCUGUACAUCAGUAGGAGUGAAGCCAGUCACAGGAGCUAUUGCUGGGAAAGCAGCUCG